UUCCGCUUCGGCAGCACAUAUACUAAAAUUGGAAGGAUACAGAGAAGGUUAGCAUGGCCCCUGCGCAAGGGUGACACGCAAAUUCUGUUUAUUUUUAAUUAAAUUU
Molecule: small nuclear RNA, 106 nt
Organism: Psammomys obesus (fat sand rat)
Lineage: Eukaryota; Metazoa; Chordata; Mammalia; Rodentia; Muridae
Source: RefSeq, a predicted model, not a curated record